AGCAGCCGCGGUAAUUCCAGCUCCAAUAGCGUAUAUUAAAGUUGUUGCAGUUAAAAGCUCGUAGUUGAAUUUCGAGACCGGUUUAUUGGUCGUGCUUUUGCACGUACUGGUAUUAUUGGUUUCUCCUUUCUGACGAAUCUUAAUGCCAUUAAUUUGGUGUUUUGGGGAAUCAGGACUGUUACUUUGAAAAAAUUAGAGUGUUUAAAGCAGGCUCACGCUUGAAUACAUUAGCAUGGAAUAACGGAAUAGGACGUUUGAUUCUAUUUUGUUGGUCUCUAGGAUCGACGUAAUGAUUAAUAGGGAUAGUUGGGGGCAUUAGUGAUUCAAUUGUCAGAGGUGAAAUUCUUGGAUUUAUUGAAGACUAACUACUGCGAAAGCAUUUGCCAAGGAUGUUUUCAUUAAUCAAGAACGAAAGUUAGGGGAUCGAAGACGAUCAGAUACCGUCGUAGUCUUAACCAUAAACC
This 464-nucleotide ribosomal RNA is filed under the name uncultured Glomeromycotina. RNAcentral describes it as "SSU rRNA". It matches the Rfam family "Eukaryotic small subunit ribosomal RNA", at positions 569 to 1038 of the family's 1831-position model. Lineage: Eukaryota; Fungi; Glomeromycota. The record is from RNAcentral.